This 484-nucleotide ribosomal RNA is filed under the name uncultured bacterium. RNAcentral describes it as "partial 16S ribosomal RNA". The stretch from base 52 to 484 matches the Rfam family "Bacterial small subunit ribosomal RNA", at positions 35 to 507 of the family's 1533-position model. The record is from RNAcentral.
GGGGGGGGGGGGGGGCGGGGGGGGCGGGUGCGAGGCGAGCGGGUGGGGGGGGCGGGCGGCGGGGUUCGGCGGCGGACGGGGGGGUGAGGCCUAGGAAUCUGCCUGGUGGUGGGGGAUAACGUCCGGAAACGGGCGCUAAUGCCGCAUACGUCCUGAUGGUGAAAGUGGGUGAUCUUCGUGCCUCGCGCUACCAGCUGAUCCUAGGUCGGCUUUGGUAGUUGGUGGGGUAAAGUCCUCCCAAGGCGACGCUCCGUCACCGGUCUGAAAGUAAGAGCAGUCACACUGGAACUGAGACACGGUCCAGACUCCUACGGGAGGCAGCAGUGGGGAAUAUUGAGCAAUGGGCGAAAGCAUGAUCCAGCCAUGCCGCGUGUGUGAAGCAGGUCUUCGGAUUGUAAAGCGCUUUAAGUUGGGAGGAAGGGCAGUAAGUUAAUACCUUGCUGUUUUGACGUUACAAACAGAAUAAGCACCGGCUAACUUCGUG